UUUUUUUUUUUUCCUUCUUGCUUUUUAGGGCUGUACUCACAGCAUAUGAAUCAGGUUCCCAAGCUAGGGGUUUAAUCAGAGCUACAGCUGCCAACCUAGGCCACAGGCACAGCAACACAAGAGCCAAGCUGCAUCUGCAACCUACACCACAGCUCACCGCAAUGCCAGAUCCUUAACCCACUGAGCGAGGCCAGGGAUCAAACCUGAAACCUCAUGGUUCCUGGUCGGAUUCAUUUCCACUGCACCACGACGGGAACUCCAUAUUUCCUUAGCUUUUACCUAAUGUCUGUAAGGAUCCCAUCCAGGAUCCCGUAUUACAUCUAGCCAUUACGUCUCCUCAGGCUCCUCUCGGCUGUGACCGUUUCUCAGACUUUCCCUGUUUUUGAUAACCAGUGUGGAGAGGACUAGUCAGCUAUUUGGGAUCUGUCUGAUGCUUUUCUCAUGGCUACACUGGUGUUAGGGGUUUGGGAGAGGAAGUCCACAGAGGGGAGGUGCCAUUCCCAUCACAUCUCGUCAAGGGUGUGUGAUAUCAACAUGAUUUAUUACUGGCGAGGGGACCUUUAUCACCUGGCCAAGGCAGUGCUUGCCAGAUUUUCUCACAAUCAAGUCACUCUUUUUUUCCCUUCUUUCUUCUUCAGGGGGAGGUCACUACGGGACUGCGUGACCACAGCUAGGGAGUGGAAAAUUAUGUUCCACCUUCUUGUCAGUGUUGACAUAAAUGAUUUGGAAUUCCUCUGUACAGAUUUGUCUUUCUCAUUUAUUUAUUAGUUCAAUCAUUUAUUUAUAUCAGUAUGAACUCAUGAAUGUUUAUUUUAUACUUUGGGUUACAAUCCAAUGCUACUUUAUUUAUUUUGUUGCUCAGAUUGUUCCACUGUUGGCCAUUGGGAGCUUUUUCAGUUGGCUCCUAUGUCCCUUUAGCAUACUCCAGUUACUGUGGGUUUUUUUUUUUUUUUUAACACUUCCCUACUUCUUAACAUUACAAGACUCUCCAUGCUCAUCUUUUAUAUUUCCUGCUCCAGCCCUACAAUCAGCCAUUUCUUCACAAAGCCCUGGUUCCUUUUACUGGAGAAUGGUAUUAGAAACCAAGAUCUGGGCACUGCCGGGGUUCACUGUUACCAGGGUGUCAUUUCUAGUCCUUCUUAACUGAUAGAGCAAAAGGAUAUAUGUGUGUAUGGUAACAUGUGCACAGAAACACAACUAUAAAUGUUUCUAUGUGUAGGCAAAUGUAUCUAUAUUAAGCCAAACAUGACUUCAUACCAUUGUCUCCAAUGAUUACCAUAUGGAUCAUUCCAGCCUCUCGCCUUGCUUUGCCAUAAACCUCAUCUCCUGCAACAGUGAGAAAACCCUGCCUCCCACAGUCCACCACUCAUUGACAUAACUGUUCAAUUUCAGUAUAUUUUAUAGCUGUUUUAGAAUUGUGAAUCUAUGCCUUCUGCAGGGAAAAAACCAUCAGAGCACAAUGCUUACAUACAGCUCCUUUUGCUUUUAGUUUUGCAGUCUUAACUCAUUUCUAAAGCUAUGUAGGUCAGCAUCUUUAUCCCCUACUCCCAUCAAUGAAGUUAUUUCAUAUAUUUGAAAUAGUGUCUUUUUUCACAGUCUGCAUUCUAUUCUGGGAUCCUCUGACCCCCUAAAUAUAUAUAUUUUCAUAUGUUUUUUAAUUUGUAUGCAUUAAGCUUUACUCUUUGUGCUGUAAAGUUCAAUAGGUUUUGAAAAAUGCCUUGUCAUGUAUUCAUCAUUAAGGUAUCAGAGAAUAGUUCAUCCUAAAAAAAAUCCCCUAUGCUUCAUCUAUUCAAUCCUCCCUUCUCUUCAAAUAUUUGCCAACCACCAUUCUGUUUACAGUUUUGCUUUUUAUAGAAUGUCAUAAAAAUAGAAUCAUAUACUAUGUAGUAUGUUUCAGACCAGUUCGAACACCAAUGUUUUUAUAGAGAGGUGAUGGUUAACAGUGUUCACUGGGGUUGAGAGGUAAAUAGGUAGAGAAGAGUGACAGGUAUUAGCAUAGCACAGGCUAGAUCUAGAAGUUUCCAGCAAUAAGAACUGAAAUUACGGAUUGCUAUUUUAGUUCUCAAUGUCAGUGACUCAAGUGUGAGGAGGACUGAAUCACCAGACUCCAGAGAAGGGAAAUCUUACCAUGGAGCAGAGCUCUGGAGAGGGAAAGAUCAAAUCUCAAAGACCCUCAAACCAUCAUCACAUAUGAGCUAAUUAGCAGAACAAUGAGCCAAUACCUUGCAAUAAUUUAGGUCUCAUGGCACAGGAUAAAAUGGCAGUGUUUUAGAUGUAUUUAAUCUAUUUAUUUGAGCUAAAAUGAAUUGUGAUCAACAGUGAAACAUGCCCAUCUACCUUGGGAAUCACUUACGCCAGCUGUCCAACAUCAUUUAGCUAUGAGGCCCCAAGUGAGGAACAAAUAUGUACAAGGAUUAAGAUUCUGUGCUCACUAGAAGUGACCAUGUGGAGGUAGGUGUCCUAAAAAGCCUCAUCCAGAAGCACAGUACACCUGCACAUACCUGCCCUGCUUUUCUCGGAAUCAGCUAGAAUUCCAUGGCGUGCUGCACAUACUAGGGAGUGUUGGGAAAAAAAACAUACCAAAAAAAACACCGAAAGAGGCAACAAAGAUCUCCACUGAGAUCUUCGCAACAAUUUCUUUUCAUAAAUUUUAGCACAUGAGCUCUUGAAGGGUCGCUAUGGAAAUAGACCAAUCUCUUUGCUGUCUCUAAGGUGAUACCUCCUUGAGCUCUUCCCAACCUCAUUCCCGCUGGCUUCCCAAGUGCACUGGUGGACCUAGUAGCACCUGUCAUGUUGUUUCUUCCAGCUCGACUCAAAGCAGUGUCAGGAUGAGCAGAGGAGCAGACCCACAUGUGCUUCCUACCAUCUGUAGCUCUCAUUCAUUCCCCUAUAGACUACUGAGUAUCAACUGUGCUUUUUCCGAUUUUGGUCACAGAGUCUCAUCACUGGUCAUCAGAGUACUAGCACACCUAACAGUCAUUUCUUAAUCUUUCUCUCAGCUGACCUCCACCUCCUUCUAUUGUGUUUUCUUGGGUUGAGUACCAAAGUUCCUUAGUCUAUAUCAGGGACAGGCAGAUUUGCCAAGAUACAAGGAUAAAGCCUCUUGGAAAGGGGCCGAGAAAAUGAUGUAGCCACUGAAUUUCUACUUCUUUUUAUAACUACUUUUAGUCAUUAUCACUAGAUUAAACACACACACGCGCAUGCACACACACACACACACACACACGCACAAAACUGAUUAGUUCUGGUUGUUAUUCAUUAUUCUCCCACUUCUUUUCUAAAAAAUCUGCAUUACAAACAACCCUCCAGGAUCUUAUUCCAAUCAACCUAUCUUGAGUCUAACAAUUAAUAUUCCUAAUACAACCACUAUGCCAUUCGAGUUUUAUUUUUAAAGCAACAAAACUGAGGCCAGUCAAUCACAAAUCCUCAUGAAGAAGGAGGCCAGAGAGGUUAACCAGAGGGUGAACUUGGCACUGCAAAGCAAGCCCCCCUCCCCGUGUUUCCCUGUUCACUAAAGCUAGUGGUUUGGGUUAACACAGGAAACACAGUAAACACACAGUAAAUUGUACACACAAAGCAACCAUCAGUAAUUUGCCUGGUGGGGUCGGAUAGCAUGUGGCUGAUAGGUCUCAGGAGAUGGGGAACAAACAGCCAGGAUGGAUUAAGUGAUUGCGAUUGGCUGUGUCCCUACCCUGCAUAUUUCACCGUGGACAGUAAUCAAUUACCAGGGGCCAGUAAUGAUACCAUUCAAAUGCACUUAGCACUUCUGCACCAUCAACCUGAGGGCUGCCGACCUGCCAGUUUGAAAAGGCUUACGGCUGUGUGAGAAGGGAUGCUGAGGGAGCCACUGUGAAGCCUUUAGGUCGGGGAAAGCGGCUUCUUUCCCUACAUGUUAAAAAGAUUAAUGGAUAAAUUAGUCACUCACCUGCCCUACAUUAAGGUUUCUUUUACAACAAGCAUUAUUCUCCUGCUCCCUCCGUCUCCCCAGGGGAUGGCUGUUUAUAAAUAUUUGGGCAUCAUCUGAGGUAUCGUGGUCAGCAGUUUCACGGGAACAAAACAGCCUCGAAGAAAAUACCCCAACAGGAGCUGUGGUGAGGCCGGAAAAACAGCUCAACUCUUGCUUUUGCAUCCUGCCAGUCACCACAGUGCUCUGUGGCCACCAUGUCACUCCCUGUCUGUUUGUUCUGUGGCGCAAACGCUAUGCCUCUUCCGUGUGUGUCCAGAAGCCUCCUCUGUCCUUUCCACUGUCCGUGAGAAGUUGAAAAAGAAGGCAGCCUCUCUGUGGUUCCAUGUCAAAACACGUCAGGUGCAGCUCUUCCUGGGGUGGGCAGCUUCUCUUCUCCCUUCACGGCCAUCAUCAUUUAUAACACAGGCGUUCUCAGGAAGAAACACAAGCGUUGGAAGUUCACGGAGUCUUUUCCAACCCUCGUGGGGCUUCUGACGCUCCGUCCUCUAUUGCCUCUUUUUCCAGUGCCAGUCUUCUAUGAAGAGCGGGCUGUCCCAUGAUUACUACUCUGCUGGACCUUUUGGCUUAAAUAAUGGUAACUAAUCAAAAAGGGUGAGGAGGGUGGGGAAGAGGGAGCCCCAGAAGAGUUGUCCCACACUCCAUUCUUGAGGUUCAUUUUUGCUGUGUUUUAACAGUUUUUCCAGAUAAGUAUCAAUUCCCUGUUCAUGAGCUGGAGAGAACAGCAAAGUCUAAGUCCAUUACAGGCUUCCAUGAAACGGCCGUUUACAAAUCACUUCAGUUCUUUAGCUGUCCCAGUUUAAACUUACACCAAGCAAGGACAGGAAGGGGCAAGAGAGAGCAUUGUAGCAGGGUGGAAAUAGUCUACAUCUUGGGUAGGAUAGUGGGUACGUGAGUGCAUACAUGCGUCAAAGCGCAAACUGUGCAUGUAAAAUUGGUGCAUUGGUUGUAUGUACAUUUUAACCCAAUAAAAAUUGAGUUAAAAAUUCCUGACAACAAGCAACUCCCAACUAAGGAGGCAGAUCCUCAGAUGGGAAAGUGAAAUAAACAUGUCCUUAUCUUACCCCCUAUUAAAUAGGGGAUGAACACUUUCAAACACCACACAUUCUCUGCAGAAGCACCCAGGUCUGUGCAUGGAAUCCAAGGGAGUGCUUGCUAUUUGAAACUGCUUCUUCCCUGCCUGCCUUUGGGAGGCAGCUGCUGGGUACAGACUGACUGAGUUGCAAGUCUCCUCCAUUGGCAGAACUGCCUCUUUCCUGAAAUUUAUGUACUCUAUCCAUCCCAGAGCACAGCUCAGAGGAAGGCUCCGGAAGGGAGAGAAAUAAGAAUCUCGGCCAAGGACACAAAUCUCCCAGGACCAUCAAAGGUGCUGCCUUCCAACAAAAGAACAUUUGGAAUGGAUUCUUGAAUGUCCCAUUACUGAGACCGUUCCUUAAUAGUAUGCGCCACCUUACCUACCCACAAGGGCAUCGUGAGAAUGAAUGAAAGAAUGAACCCUCUGGAGCAUUUUUCCAGAGAGAAGGCCAGGUGAAUCAGAACCAUCAGCCUCCCCAGGAUGGCAUUUAGGGACAAAAUACUUUGAUGGCUUUAGUUGCCUUCUUCCUGUUUUUCAUCCCUAUUACGAUAACUCUAUAACGCAAAACGGGGCAGAGAUUUUGUUGAACUUAUCACUGAAAGUGUAUAACCUUUCAGCCGAACUUUCUCCAGUUUGGGAUGUCAUUACAAGUGCAUGAGGCAUGGUGCCCGGGACUCACUAUGAGACCCGGAGAGGCUACCUAUUCCCAUCCCACCAGCCUUAGUGAGCGAUUUGUGCUCAGCUUCCUCCUUCUACAAAGGAUACAAACUCUGGUUGUCCUUCUCCUUGUGUGUUGGUUAUGUUACUCUUUUUCUGUGAAAACCAAUGGCUAAGGCCUUUAGAGGGCUGCAUAACAUCAGGGAACACACGAACAUGUUAAUGCUAUAACUGUGAGCCUGGUCUUUUAGUAAUUUUGUUUCUCUCUAGCACUUAGCAUCACUGCCUUCUCCCCAACACACACAGAGACACACACAAAGUAUUUACUUCAAGAAUAACUUAAUUACCAGAUGCAACCUACAAAUUCAAAACAAUAUAAAAAUUCUGGGCAUUUUUUAACCAUAGAGAAAAAAAAAGAUCCUAAAAUGCCUAUGGAAUGACAAUAGACUCCAAAAAGCCAUAUCAAUUUUGAUACAGGGCUAGAAGCAUCAUAUUUCCUCAUUUCAAAAUAUACUACAAAGCUACAGUAAUCAAAACACAGUAUGGUACUGGCAAAAAGAGACACAUGGACUAAUGGAAUAGAGAGCCUAGAAAUAAAUUUAUGGAUAUAUGGUCAACAACUGAUAUUCAAGAAGAGUGCCAAAAAUACACAAUGGGGAAGGGAUAGUCUCUUCCAACAGAUGGUAUUGAGAAAAUUGGAUAUAUACAUGCAAAAGAACGAAACUGGACCUUUAUCUUAUAUCAUCCACAAAAAUCAACUCAAAAUGGAUUUAAAAAAAACCUAACACUAUAAAACUCGAGACGAAAAUAUAGGGGAAAAUCUUCAUGAUACUAGUCUUGAUAAUGAUUUCUUGGUUGUGUUCAUUUGGGGUGCAUUUGUUUGGGGUGUAGUAAGUACUGGAAAAGGGCCUAAGCAGAGCUUUUGGGUUUCUGGUACUAUACCAUUUCUUGAUCUUGAUCCUGGUGACAAAGAUGUGUUCGUUUCGUGAAAAUGCACCAAGUUAUAACUUAAGAUCUGUGCACUUUUCAGUAUGUAUACUUUAGUGAAAAGUUUAAAAAGAAUAAUUUAACUAUAUGUUUUUUGGUCUUUUUAGGGCCACACCAGCAGUAGAUGGAGGUUCCCAAGCUAGGGGUCGAAUCGGAGCUGCAGCUCCCAGCCUACGCCACAGCCAACGCGGUAUCUGAGCCAAAUCUGUGACCUACACCGCAGCUUGUGGCAACACCAGAUUCUUAACCCACUGAGCAAGGCCAGGAAUUGAACCAUCGUCCUCA
This 6968-nucleotide long non-coding RNA is filed under the name Sus scrofa (pig). RNAcentral's name for it is "lncRNA (ENSSSCG00040008601.1)". Lineage: Eukaryota; Metazoa; Chordata; Mammalia; Artiodactyla; Suidae. The record is from RNAcentral.